RNAcentral lists this ribosomal RNA (119 nucleotides) under Triticum aestivum (bread wheat). Lineage: Eukaryota; Viridiplantae; Streptophyta; Magnoliopsida; Poales; Poaceae. RNAcentral also lists the same sequence under 1 other name. The record is from RNAcentral.
GGAUGCGAUCAUACCAGCACUAAAGCACCGGAUCCCAUCAGAACUCUGAAGUUAAGCGUGCUUGGGCGAGAGUAGUACUAGGAUAGGUGACCUCCUGGGAAGUCCUCGUGUUGCAUUCC